RNAcentral lists this non-coding RNA (21 nucleotides) under Arabidopsis thaliana (thale cress). The record is from RNAcentral. Lineage: Eukaryota; Viridiplantae; Streptophyta; Magnoliopsida; Brassicales; Brassicaceae.
CUUUUUGGUUAGGUGGCGUCU